AAACCAACAGGGAUUACCUCAGUAACGGCGAGUGAAGCGGUAACAGCUCAAAUUUGAAAUCUGGGUCUUUCAGGCUCCGAGUUGUAAUUUGUAGAAGAUGCUUCGGGUGCGGCUCCGGUCUAAGUUCCUUGGAACAGGACGUCAUAGAGGGUGAGAAUCCCGUAUGUGAUCGGUUACUUGCGCCCAUGUGAAGCUCUUUCGACGAGUCGAGUUGUUUGGGAAUGCAGCUCAAAAUGGGUGGUAAAUUUCAUCUAAAGCUAAAUAUUGGCCAGAGACCGAUAGCGCACAAGUAGAGUGAUCGAAAGAUGAAAAGCACUUUGGAAAGAGAGUUAAACAGUACGUGAAAUUGUUGAAAGGGAAGCGCUUGCAACCAGACUUGCGCGUUGCCGAUCAUCCGGGGUUCUCCCCGGUGCACUCGGCCUCGCUCAGGCCAGCAUCGGUUUUGGUGGUGGGAUAAAGGCCUUGGGAAUGUAGCUCCUUUCGGGGAGUGUUAUAGCCCUCGGUGCAAUGCCGCCUACCGGGACCGAGGACCGCGCUUCGGCUAGGAUGCUGGCGUAAUGGUUGUAAGCGAC
RNAcentral lists this ribosomal RNA (572 nucleotides) under uncultured fungus. RNAcentral describes it as "eukaryotic LSU rRNA". It matches the Rfam family "Eukaryotic large subunit ribosomal RNA", at positions 62 to 648 of the family's 3401-position model. Lineage: Eukaryota; Fungi. The record is from RNAcentral.